AUCAGACAUUCGUUCUCUCGCU
RNAcentral lists this microRNA (22 nucleotides) under Pristionchus pacificus. RNAcentral describes it as "ppc-miR-8359-3p". The record is from miRBase by way of RNAcentral. Lineage: Eukaryota; Metazoa; Nematoda; Chromadorea; Rhabditida; Neodiplogasteridae.